GAUAAGUUGUUGAUUACGUUUUUUAAGGGAAGCAGAGGUUUUAGGCAGGAUUUGAUGCAUAAGGUGUGUGUAGAUAUUAAUGUUAGGGGAGAAUGUGAGUGAUGUGUACAUUUAGUAGGAAAACCUAUUAUCUGAUCCACACUCCGGGACAGGAGAGGGCGGUAUUGCACCAAUAAGCUGGAUGCCAACCGCCGUUAAACUGGAAAGAAGUUACAAUGAGUUACAAUGGAACAGAUUAUGUUUGUCUGCUGUAGAGUGACUGAAGAAGGAAUGCUGCCAUCAAAGGAUUUGUAUCUUUUGUGGUGGAGCAGGACCUGCAAGGAAAGGGGAAAAAAAGGAAAAACCUGAAACAAAAGAAUAAAGUAGUGGUGCUCAUGGAGAGCAGCACACGAUUGUUUGGAGCAGACACAGCAGCAGUCAGAUUGUCCUGCAUGUGUUCUUCUGCUCUCGCUUCAAGGUUGUGUGGUGAGAGCCGACAUCAUGGUCUUCCUUACCUGUUGCUCAACGACAUCCCCGUUGAGAAGAGUGAGAUUAUGAAGCACAGCAGAACUGUCUCAGCUGUGUUGAGAUGAUAGUAAGAUGUGGGGUUCACCAUCUGUAAAUACAUGAUUGUUAGAACAGUAAGUUUGAAUGAAGCUUUGUUUCAUGUGUUGUUGACUUGUACAUGUAUGCAUUUAUUGUGAUGCCAACA
Molecule: long non-coding RNA, 691 nt
Organism: Cyprinus carpio carpio
Lineage: Eukaryota; Metazoa; Chordata; Actinopteri; Cypriniformes; Cyprinidae
Source: Ensembl